This 287-nucleotide long non-coding RNA is filed under the name Equus caballus (horse). RNAcentral's name for it is "lncRNA (ENSECAG00000058152.1)". Lineage: Eukaryota; Metazoa; Chordata; Mammalia; Perissodactyla; Equidae. The record is from RNAcentral.
AGUGCAGGUCUCCCUCUUUGAGAGGCUACGUUCCGUUGGGGUUUUCAUGAAGCCUGUUGUGCACCUGAAGCUCAGGCCGGUUCAGGGGAAGUGGCCUGUCGAGGGCCACAUCAUAUUUGUGUGCAGAGCCAGUGCUUUCCAAAGCCCGUGACGGUGUGGAAGUCUACCUGUUAGGGGUGCAGUGGGGGCUGUCAGGGGAGCGUUGUGAGCACAGCUUGCAGUUGCUACUGACCGCAUCUGCAGCACUGUGGAAUCAGAAAAAAUCUCCCUCAACUUGGCUGCUCUUG